This 253-nucleotide ribosomal RNA is filed under the name uncultured bacterium. Its description in RNAcentral is "partial 16S ribosomal RNA". It matches the Rfam family "Bacterial small subunit ribosomal RNA", at positions 524 to 776 of the family's 1533-position model. RNAcentral also lists the same sequence under 1 other name. The record is from RNAcentral.
UACGUAGGGUGCAAGCGUUGUCCGGAAUUAUUGGGCGUAAAGAGCUCGUAGGCGGUCUGUCGCGUCUGGUGUGAAAAUCCAGGGCUUAACCCUGGACCUGCAUUGGGUACGGGCAGACUAGAGUGCGGUAGGGGAGAUCGGAAUUCCUGGUGUAGCGGUGAAAUGCGCAGAUAUCAGGAGGAACACCGGUGGCGAAGGCGGAUCUCUGGGCCGUAACUGACGCUGAGGAGCGAAAGCAUGGGGAGCGAACAGG